GUAGGGAAUAUUGGGCAAUGGUCGGAAGACUGACCCAGCCAUGCCGCGUGCAGGAAGACGGCCCUCUGGGUUGUAAACUGCUUUUAUCUGGGAAGAAAAAGGCCAUGCGUGGCAAAUUGCCGGUACCAGAUGAAUAAGCACCGGCUAACUCCGUGCCAGCAGCCGCGGUAUUACGGAGGGUGCGAGCGUUGUCCGGAUUUAUUGGGUUUAAAGGGUGCGUAGGCGGCUGAUUAAGUCAGCGGUGAAAGACUUCGGCUUAACCGGAGCAGUGCCGUUGAUACUGGUUGGCUUGAGUGUCGGAGGGGUACAUGGAAUUGAUGGUGUAGCGGUGAAAUGCAUAGAUACCAUCAGGAACACCGAUAGCGAAGGCAUUGUACUGGCCGACAACUGACGCUGAUGCACGAAAGUGUGGGGAUCGAACAGGAUUAGAAACCCCAGUAGUCC
This 444-nucleotide ribosomal RNA is filed under the name uncultured bacterium. Its description in RNAcentral is "partial 16S ribosomal RNA". It matches the Rfam family "Bacterial small subunit ribosomal RNA", at positions 354 to 796 of the family's 1533-position model. The record is from RNAcentral.